UACGUAGGGGGCAAGCGUUAUCCGGAAUCACUGGGCGUAAAGGGUGCGUAGGUGGCUUAUCAAGCCAGGGGUGAAAGGCAUUGGCUCAACCAAUGUAAGCCUUUGGAACUGAUAGGCUUGAGUGCAGGAGAGGUAAGUGGAAUUCCUAGUGUAGAGGUGAAAUUCGUAGAUAUUAGGAGGAACACCAGUGGCGAAGGCGACUUACUGGACUGUAACUGACACUGAGGCACGAAAGCGUGGGUAGC
This 245-nucleotide ribosomal RNA is filed under the name uncultured Fusibacter sp. Its description in RNAcentral is "partial 16S ribosomal RNA". It matches the Rfam family "Bacterial small subunit ribosomal RNA", at positions 524 to 769 of the family's 1533-position model. The record is from RNAcentral. Lineage: Bacteria; Bacillati; Bacillota; Clostridia; Eubacteriales; Fusibacteraceae.